Long non-coding RNA from Pongo pygmaeus (Bornean orangutan), 2665 nucleotides. RefSeq lists it as uncharacterized. The record is from RefSeq and is a predicted model, not a curated record. NCBI's taxonomy places the organism in Eukaryota, Metazoa, Chordata, Mammalia, Primates, Hominidae. The transcript is spliced from 9 exons.
GUUUCCGGGGGCCUUCCACACGCUGGUAGACGGUCUGAGAGGAUCUUGGGGACAGUUGUUGCUGUGCAGAGGGAGUCUCACUCCGUGGCCCAGGCUGGAGUACAGUGGCACAAUCUCGGCUCACUGCAACCUCUGCCUCCGGGGUUAGGUGAUUCUUCAGUCUCAGCCUCCUGAGUACCUGGGACUACAGGCAUGCACCACCAUGCUUGGCUAGUUCUUAUAGUUUUAGUAGAGACGCGGUUUCACCAUGUUGCCCAGGCUGGUCUCAAAGUGAGCUCAAAGAGAUCUGCCUGCCUCGGCCUCCCGAAGUGCUGGGAUUACAGGUGUGAGCCACCAUGCCCGACCAGUCCUGCAGCUCUUGCAUGGCAGAGGCAGAACUUGAACCUGGGUCUAUAUUGGACCCUAGAACCCACCACACUAGCCCUCACAUAUCCUGCUGUCUGCCACCUGGUUCCAUGACCUCAGCAUAUCCCUCAGCCUGUCUGGAUUUCGGAUGCCUCCAUUAUAAAAGGAGGAACUAGAGCCAGGACCCACUGGGGAGCCUGCUGCUCUCUGCUCUGAUAUCUCAUGUGUCAGUGGGUUGACGGCCAUGGGGCGAGUGGCCAGGACUCUAGUGGCAGCUCCGUGUCCCUAGAGGCCCCACCUUGGCUGCGAUCAUGUAAGGUGGGAUGAUGUCAAUGGCCAUCUCCUGGAACAGCUCCCGGCACUGCAUGGAGAUGAAGUCCCCUGCCAGAGGGGACUUGACGAUGCCUAGAAGGAAGGCACUGUCAGGACCUGGUCCUCCCGGGGCACCCCCGCCCCCUGCCGAAGCCCCACCUUGCUGCAGGACAUAGCCAUCAUGUACUGGAAUGGCCGUGGUGUGGGUGGCUCCACUGUCCAGCACGAGGCCCGUGGACCGCCCGUUUGCAAAGCUGGCAUCGAAUGGAAAGAAAAACAUUACAUCAGAGGAUCAGAAAUCAGAUGGUUUCAUCCUUCUUAAUGGCAACAAUAUAUGCUGGAAGAAGGACAAUGGAAAAGUGCCUUCAAGAUUCUGAAGAAUAAUGAUUUCCAACCUGGCAUGGGAUACGCAGCUAAGCUAUCAACUCAAGGUGUGAUCCAGGAUGGCUCUGAAGCACUCCCAGUCCUCGACUGGGGCCAGAAGAGCGGCGUGGAGAGACGCAAGAAGGCAGGCAGGAGACAGGGACAGGAAGAAAAGGAGGGAGAAAGGCCAAGCCCAAAGGAGGAGCUUCUGGGCGAUCUGGGAGAGCUCUGGGUCACUGGAAAGCCUGAAGAAGGGUCCGGAGCCCCUAGGAUUUGGAGAGGAGACUGGAAGGCUCACCUUGGGACAGUCCUCCCCAGCGUACCCAGCGCGGACUGAGAAGGAGCCAAUGUCAAAGACCAGCGCCCCCACCUCAUCUGUGCGGGGAGACAGGCCUGUUGAUCUCGAACUCCUGGCCUCAAGCGAUCCUCCCACCUCAGCCUUUCGAAGUGCCAGAAUUACAGGCGUGAGCCACUGCGCCCGACCUCUACCCCCUUACUUUUUAAAGCAGGAUUGGGGAGAGAGCUCCAGUCCCGAGAAGGGUCAUCUAUCUUCAGGCUGCUCUGAGCCCGGUUCUGCCACACCCAGGCCGAAAUGGAAUCACCCAGGACAGCUGGCGAUGAGGCCCCCAUCUGAUUCUGGAGUCAGUGUGUGGCUGAAAGCUGGGCAUACAGGACUAUUCAGGGAAACAAAGGCAUGGAGAGGUUGAGGAAUUUCCAAAGUCACUCAGCUGUAGAGACGGAGUUUCACCAUGUUGACCUCGGGGGAUCCACCCACCUGGGCCUCCUAAAUUGCUGGGAUUACAGGCGUGAGCCACCACGCCCAGUUCUUCAAGUUUCUACUACCAAGAUGACUUCACUGAAUAAGGAGCUGGGUGUACAAUGGGCACUCGUGACCUGGCAUGAGCGGAUGCCAGCACGCCACUGUCCAUGGGCAUCUAAGUUGGGAUAUUCAGUCAGCCAUUGGAUGUGCACCAAGUUGCCACAUGGGGAAGAGACAUCUGGGCUGGAGACAGAGGUUUGAGUGUUAUGAGCAAUUAGCAGGUAAAGUCACAGUAGUGGAUGAAGUCACCAAUGAAUAACAUGGAGAGAAGAGGAGGCCAAAUUCAGUAUUCUGGGAAAAACAAUGUUUGCAGAGUGCCCUGAGGAGGAGGAGAGGCUAAGAAGCCAGAACAGGUAGAGGAAGGAGGCCCUGUGACCCAUCAGAGCCACAUCUGCUACUUGCUCUCGAGGGUCCUGCCUGCUCAGAUAAGUUGGCUACUCAUUGGUCAUCACCUGGCAACUCUGUCCUUCCUUGCAUCUGGCCAAAUUCUUUUUCCUCUCUCUUUCCUCCUGUCCUCCUCAUUACCAUCUAAAUUAGCUCCAGUAGCUCCCAUCAAAAAUCAAAUAACGGCCGGGCGCGGUGGCUCAUGCCUGUAAUCCCAGCACUUUGGGAGGCCAAGGCGAGUGGAUCACCUGAGGUCUGGAGUUUGAGACCAGCCUGGCCAACAUGGUGAAACCCUGUCUCUACUAAAAAUAUCAAAAUGAGUCGGGCGUGGUGGCACAUGCCUGUAAUCCCAGCUACUUGGGAGGCUGAGGCAGGAGAAUUGCUUGAACCUGGGAAGUGGAAGUUGCAGUGAACCGAGAUUGCAGCACCACUACACUCCAG